CACAGACCUGUAUGCACCAGGUAUUGAGGAUGAGGAGCUGGUUGCAGUCCAUGUGGAGAAUUUCCAACACACAGCAGUGGAGGAGAACAUUACACUAGCUGACAUUGUGGCAAACCUGUCACUUCCUAUUGAUCACAAAACAGUCAGCAGGUUCAACAUCUCAAAGACUAAUGUUUGGGAUGGAGCAGUCAGAGGUUUUAAGCGUACAACAUAUUCUGAAACCUGUGACAUGCUGGUCAAAUUUACUGAUGAUGCUGGAGUUUAUGAGGAGGGAAUUGACACAGGUGGUCCCAGAUGAGAAUUUUUAACUCUGCUAAUGAAACACCUGAAAGACCGGCCCAUUUUUGAUGGACCAGAAGGACAUCGGUUCUUGGUCUACAAUGCAAAUGCUGUUAGGGAGGAUGAAUACUACCUGGCAGGAAAAAUGAUCACAGUGUCAGUUGUACAUGGGGGUCCAGGACCCCAUUUCCUGUCAGAAGAUCUUGUACAUUAUCUUGCAGGCCAGCCUUCAUUCAAAUCAGCAGUUAAUUCAAUAACUGAUGAAGAAACAGGGAAAGCUUUU
Non-coding RNA from Epinephelus lanceolatus (giant grouper), 562 nucleotides. Lineage: Eukaryota; Metazoa; Chordata; Actinopteri; Perciformes; Serranidae. The record is from RefSeq and is a predicted model, not a curated record.